AUGCUUGCUUUACAAUCACAUAUACUAAAUUUGGAAUGAAAUGGAGAAGAUUACACAGCCCCAGAACAAGGAUGACACACAAAUUCAUAAAGCAUUCUAUAUUUGA
This is a small nuclear RNA of Tupaia belangeri (northern tree shrew), 106 nucleotides long. The record is from Ensembl. NCBI's taxonomy places the organism in Eukaryota, Metazoa, Chordata, Mammalia, Scandentia, Tupaiidae.